AGAGUUUGAUCAUGGCUCAGGACGAACGCUGGCGGCGUGCCUAAUACAUGCAAGUCGAGCGCGUGAAGCAUUCUGAAGCCUUCGGGCGGACGGAUGCGGAGCGAGCGGCGGACGGGUGAGUAACACGUAGGCAACCUGCCUGCAAGUCUGGGAUAACUCCGGGAAACCGGGGCUAAUACCGGAUAGGCAUUGUGUACGCAUGUACAUGAUGUAAAAGGCGGAAUUUCUGUCGCUUGCAGAUGGGCCUGCGGCGCAUUAGCUUGUUGGUGGGGUAACGGCUCACCAAGGCGACGAUGCGUAGCCGACCUGAGAGGGUGGCCGGCCACACUGGGACUGAGACACGGCCCAGACUCCUACGGGAGGCAGCAGUAGGGAAUCUUCCGCAAUGGACGGAAGUCUGACGGAGCAACGCCGCGUGAGCGAAGAAGGUCUUCGGAUCGUAAAGCUCUGUUGUGAGGGAAGAACAAGGAUGGGAGUAACUGUCUAUUCUUUGACGGUACCUCACCAGAAAGCCACGGCUAACUACGUGCCAGCAGCCGCGGUAAUACGUAGGUGGCAAGCGUUGUCCGGAAUUAUUGGGCGUAAAGGGCGCGCAGGCGGUUCCUUAAGUCUGAUGUGAAACCUUGCGGCUUAACCGCAAGCGGUCAUUGGAAACUGGGGGACUUGAGUGCAGAAGAGGAGAGUGGAAUUCCACGUGUAGCGGUGAAAUGCGUAGAGAUGUGGAGGAACACCAGUGGCGAAGGCGGCUCUCUGGUCUGCAACUGACGCUGAGGCGCGAAAGCGUGGGUAGCGAACAGGAUUAGAUACCCUGGUAGUCCACGCCGUAAACGAUGAGUGCUAGGUGUUGGGGGGCACGCCCCUCAGUGCUGAAGUUAACACAUUAAGCACUCCGCCUGGGGAGUACGGCCACAAGGCUGAAACUCAAAGGAAUUGACGG
This 937-nucleotide ribosomal RNA is filed under the name uncultured bacterium. RNAcentral's name for it is "bacterial SSU rRNA". It matches the Rfam family "Bacterial small subunit ribosomal RNA", at positions 8 to 916 of the family's 1533-position model. The record is from RNAcentral.